This 272-nucleotide small nuclear RNA is filed under the name Heterocephalus glaber (naked mole-rat). RNAcentral describes it as "7SK RNA". The stretch from base 1 to 243 matches the Rfam family "7SK RNA". From Rfam's summary of the family: 7SK was discovered as an abundant small nuclear RNA in the mid-70s but a possible function has only recently been suggested. Lineage: Eukaryota; Metazoa; Chordata; Mammalia; Rodentia; Bathyergidae. The record is from Rfam by way of RNAcentral.
CGAUGGAAUGGUGGGCCUCUGGCUCUCUUCCAUUACCAUUUAAUGUGCCUCCCUCCUGAAGCUGCUUGCUCAGUCAAAAAGGACAACAGUCCCUGAUAGAGGAGGACCAUUGAAGUAAAAGUAUCAGUAGCUGCCUUCUUCUGCUAGAACCACCAAACAAGCUCUCAAGAAUUGUUUCUGGUUUACUGUGGGUGGCACAUAGAAUAUUCAGGGUGAAAAGGGUGGAAAGAGAAAGCUGUCCUUGAGCAUUUGAGUAUCACAUGGAGGCUCUU